Molecule: ribosomal RNA, 220 nt
Filed under: uncultured bacterium
Lineage: Bacteria
Description: partial 16S ribosomal RNA
Rfam family: Bacterial small subunit ribosomal RNA
Source: RNAcentral
CGCGUGGGUAACCUGCCUCAUACAGGGGGAUAACAGUUGGAAACGACUGCUAAUACCGCAUAAGCGCACAGGAUCGCAUGAUCCGGUGUGAAAACUCCGGUGGUAUGAGAUGGACCCGCGUCUGAUUAGCCAGUUUGGCAGGGUAACGGCCUACCAAAGCGACGAUCAGUAGCCGACCUGAGAGGGUGACCGGCCACAUUGGGACUGAGACACGGCCCAA